GACGAACGCUGGCGGCAUGCCUAACACAUGCAAGUCGAACGGAACUUGUUGAAUGAAGUUUUCGGAUGGAUUUUGACAAGUUUAGUGGCGGACGGGUGAGUAACGCGUGAGCAACCUGCCUUUCAGAGGGGGACAACAGUUGGAAACGACUGCUAAUACCGCAUAAUGUAUUUUAGGGGCAUCCCUUUAAUACCAAAGAUUUAUUGCUGAAAGAUGGUCUCGCGUCUGAUUAGCUAGAUGGCGGGGUAACGGCCCACCAUGGCGACGAUCAGUAGCCGGUCUGAGAGGAUGAACGGCCACAUUGGGACUGAGAUACGGCCCAGACUCCUACGGGAGGCAGCAGUGGGGAAUAUUGCACAAUGGGGGGAAACCCUGAUGCAGCAACGCCGCGUGAACGAUGAAGGCCUUCGGGUCGUAAAGUUCUGUCCUUGGGGAAGAAGUACAUGACGGUACCCUUGGAGGAAGCCCCGGCUAACUACGUG
Molecule: ribosomal RNA, 482 nt
Filed under: uncultured bacterium
Lineage: Bacteria
Description: bacterial SSU rRNA
Rfam family: Bacterial small subunit ribosomal RNA
Source: RNAcentral